GCCGCACGAUGAGUAGCCUCGGAU
Caenorhabditis elegans is the source of this 24-nucleotide non-coding RNA. The record is from Ensembl. NCBI's taxonomy places the organism in Eukaryota, Metazoa, Nematoda, Chromadorea, Rhabditida, Rhabditidae.